UACGGAGGGAGCUAGCGUUGUUCGGAAUUACUGGGCGUAAAGCGCACGUAGGCGGCUUUGUAAGUUAGGGGUGAAAGCCCGGAGCUCAACUCCGGAAUUGCCUUUAAGACUGCAUCGCUUGAAUCCGGGAGAGGUGAGUGGAAUUCCGAGUGUAGAGGUGAAAUUCGUAGAUAUUCGGAAGAACACCAGUGGCGAAGGCGGCUCACUGGACCGGUAUUGACGCUGAGGUGCGAAAGCGUGGGGAGCAAAACGG
This 253-nucleotide ribosomal RNA is filed under the name uncultured bacterium. Its description in RNAcentral is "partial 16S ribosomal RNA". It matches the Rfam family "Bacterial small subunit ribosomal RNA", at positions 524 to 776 of the family's 1533-position model. The record is from RNAcentral.